RNAcentral lists this ribosomal RNA (449 nucleotides) under uncultured bacterium. RNAcentral describes it as "partial 16S ribosomal RNA". It matches the Rfam family "Bacterial small subunit ribosomal RNA", at positions 329 to 794 of the family's 1533-position model. The record is from RNAcentral.
GGCCAGACUCCUACGGGAGGCAGCAGUGGGGGAUAUUGCACAAUGGGGGAAACCCUGAUGCAGCGACGCCGCGUGGGCGAAGAAGUAUUUCGGUAUGUAAAGCCCUAUCAGCAGGGAAGAAGAAAUGACGGUACCUGAGUAAGAAGCACCAGCUAAAUACGUGCCAGCAGCCGCGGUAAUACGUAUGGUGCAAGCGUUAUCCGGAUUUACUGGGUGUAAAGGGAGCGCAGGCGGCACGGCAAGCCUGAUGUGAAAGCCCGCGGCCCAACCGCGGGACUGCAUUGGGAACUACCGGGCUGGAGUGCAGGAGGGGCAGGCGGAAUUCCUGGUGUAGCGGUGAAAUGCGUAGAUAUCAGGAGGAACGCCGGUGGCGAAGGCGGCCUGCUGGACUGCGACUGACGUUGAGGCCCGAAAGCGUGGGAGCAAACAGGAUUAGAUACCCUGGUAAC